This 61-nucleotide small nucleolar RNA is filed under the name Acanthisitta chloris (rifleman). Its description in RNAcentral is "Small nucleolar RNA Z39". It matches the Rfam family "Small nucleolar RNA Z39". Rfam says of the family: Z39 is a member of the C/D class of snoRNA which contain the C (UGAUGA) and D (CUGA) box motifs. The record is from Rfam by way of RNAcentral. Lineage: Eukaryota; Metazoa; Chordata; Aves; Passeriformes; Acanthisittidae.
GUACAUGUGGUGUCACCAAGCAGGAUGAGGAGCUGUGAUGCUGUAAACAGUUUCUGAUGUG